Phalacrocorax carbo (great cormorant) is the source of this 5348-nucleotide non-coding RNA. NCBI's taxonomy places the organism in Eukaryota, Metazoa, Chordata, Aves, Suliformes, Phalacrocoracidae. The record is from RefSeq and is a predicted model, not a curated record.
AUCCUGCCCUCCCCCCGCCGCCCCGCUCCACGCCCGCCGCCUCACGCUCCGCCCAGGCGGAGGGGGCAGCAGCGCCCUGCCGCGGCGGCACCGCCCGCCCGGCGGCCGCGCCAGGCACCGGCAACGGCACCAGUGGCCGCCUCGCCGCGCCUCACAGGCGCGCUGCCCCGCCGGCCUGAGGCGAACCCCAUCGCCGCCGGGCGGGGAAGGAGGGAGGGCUGAGAGAAUAAAUAAAUGACGGCGCGGGGAGGGCAGGAGGGAGAGGCCGGUGGGAGGAAAGUGAAACGGCGCGGGAGCGGGGCGGCCGGCUGAGCCUCAGCCCGCCUGGGCUGGUGCGGCCGCCGGCUGGGCGGGAGCGCGUUCUGCUCCCCGGAGACGGCAGCGAUGGCGAGGGGGGCACCGAGCAGCCGCCCCGGCGCCCCGGGUGCCGCUCCCCGCGGGGCCCGCCGCCCCGGGCAGCCCGCCAGGUGCUGCUGCUAUGAUGCUCCGUGUGAUCUGUGCCAUUCCCCAAGGACAAUGUGGAGAGAUCCUUGGUUUGGACAGUUCCUGCUGUGGCUCCUCCACCAGCCUUUCUCCCAGCCGCCCACACCAGAAACACGGCUUGUCCGUAACCUGCGGUAGUUCCUAGCAGCUGAUGGGGCCACCAAAGCUCUUUGCAACUGCUAUAAUAUAAUGCAGAUAUUCUUUGAGCUCCUUUAAUCUGCCCACGAGACUGACCCAGCGCUUUUCAGCCUCAGUAUUAGGAAGGGGCGAAACAGGUAAUUGUUGCCAUGUGGUAGGUGUUGCUUGUGGACAAUCUGUCUCCAGGGCAGUCGUUGCCAAAUCUCUUUUUCCUCCAGUAGAGCCUUGGGCAUUCAGCUCUUCUACAUAUGAAAUAUGUAAUAAAGAAUGACUUGAUGAUUGCUUUUGGUUUGCUGUUUGGAAAGUGUAGAAUACCACCUUAACUGGUUGUUUUCACCAUGGAAGAGGCAUUUUUUUGGAGCUGCAGCCUGUUAGAUCCUUCCUACCAACCGCAUUGUUGCUUCAUAAGUACACCUGGCCUGGCUAGGUUCAAGAUCACUCAUAGCCAUGGUUUACCAUGGUUAUUUGACCAUCAAGACAUAGUCUUACUGUAAAAGGGAGCCUCAACAACAGAUUCUCUUGGCUCCAGUGAUUUAGGAUCAGCUAGUUACAUGCUUUAAAGGUCCAGUAGAUGUAUCUGCAUGGUUUAGGAGGAAACUUGGUGUUUGGGGUGGGUAUUUCCUUCCUAAGUCUUUCACAUAUUUCUUUCGAGGAGAAUGUGUGCGUACCCAUUUAUUUCAUGGCUGCUGAGUCCAAAGGUGACCUGCAGGACUUGGGCAGCUCUGUGAGUUGGUGUACAGACUUAAAAGACAGGAAAAUCAGGUGACCAUGAUUGGUUUUAAAAAGAUUUCACUGACAGAGUCUGAAAUAACUCUGGGGCUCGAAACAGCAGGCAUUGUCAGAUACAAGGGAUUAAAAGGCCUUUUAGUGUGGCUUAGUAGUGUCCAGAAGAUUGGCUUACUUGUAUGAGUCCUUCUUUUGUCACAUUGAUCUUUAUUUUGCAUUGUGCUUAGUACAACUGCAACUGGACGCUGAAGUCUCCUUUCCUGAAUCAUCUGACAGGACUUGGCCCGUUCAUUGCUUAGUAAAACCCUUUUUUGUGGAGGAAUUGAUUCUUGCCAGUGUAGCCAGUGUUGAGUAAUAGCCGAAGAAUACCAAGUUGCAAUCAUUUAAUCAACAUGGUAUGUGGCCAGGUUGUUGAGAGGAAGUUACUAUAACAAUGGGUUAUACUACUUUAUAUUACUUUCAUGUAUAGAUAUAUCAGUUUAACUUAAUAGGGAGCUACCUGAUGAAGGAAUAAAAGGCAAUUCAGUGGUUCCCCUGUGUCAGCUCUAUGUGACUAAACCUAAUAAAUGUGAGGUGGUAAUUACAAGACGGUAGCUCCGAUUCCGAUGCAGCUAGUUUGUCAGGCUGAGAACUAAAAAUCAGAGGAUAAAGUUGGUAGAGACUGAUGGAGGAAAUAAUUUAAGAUAGAGGCAGACUUUGCAGAAGAGGCUGGAAGAAGCUGAGCCUUCCUCUCUGCAGCAAUGGACUGGUAAGUCAUACAGAAGGAAAGUCAACUGUGUUGACUGGUUUAUUGUUUUAAGAUCUAUUUGGUCUUAAAUGGUUUGGUGCUAAGUAAGUGUUUUGCGGUUAGUACUUAGAGUGAUUUUCUUCAUGAGAGACUAAACCGGCAGGUCUGGGUCUGCCUCAGAUCUGCAGAGGCACUCAUGGUUGAUCCACUAGGGAUGCAACCUGAGAACUGGUCUGUGUGUAGCAAAAAAAGACAGACAGAGAUCUGGAGGAACCGCUAACUGGUCACUUGCGACAGCAACAUGCAAACACAGUCACAGGUUUUGCUUUUUCAUAUUUGAAAAUGAUUUUGUGUAUAAAUAAUUAGCUUUUUAGAAUAAUAGAUAGGCUUUUGCAGACAGGCUUAACCUUGGUGUUUUGAUGUGUUUUUUUUUCUUUUUUAAACAUGGCAUAGUUAAAAACACAAUGUCAAAGGUAAGAAAAAAAUUAUCACAUGGAUAGCAGUAAUGCAAAUAUGUCAGUUAUAGCUAAAAUACUGGUUAGGUCCUGUUGCUCAACUGAAAGAUAAUACAGCAAAAGAGUUUUUUAUUUUGUUGUCCUUUUAUUCAUGAUUUAUUGUACUGUUGUUUUCACCACUUACCAUAUAUAAUUGAUUGGUCGUCCCCUGCUGUUACCAUGGAUAUUUAAUACACUGACAUAGAAAAGAGGCAUUUUUAUGAAGAGGAAAAUGCAGCUACAAAACUCCUUGGGCAGAAUUGAAGGCUGUGCCAUAUUCUGUGUUGAUACAGCCAAUAGAGCUUUCUGCUUCAUGUUCUUAUCUACCCUCUACACAUAGGGAUACGCAUCCCACGCCUCGUGUCUUAUGAGGCUAGCACCUAGGAGAGUGUUAGGUGCAGCAUAGCCUCCUUGGGCUCACUAUCCCGCCCUGGAGCAGGGAGGAAGGGCCAGGUUUGUAGGUCGGUUGGCUUGAGACUCAGAAGCCCUUCAUGGAAGAGUGAUAAAUGCUGUUGAUAAGGGUGGUCCAACAUAAACAGGAAUCCAAGAUCCUCCCUUCAGACUCUUUGGUCUGGUUUGUUGGUUUGGGUUUUUUUCACUAAGAUCAAAAGAGAACACAGUAUUUUGAACAAGAUGUGCGAGGGCCCACCCUUCCUGAAUUGCACUUUCAGUGGUGUGUUCUGUCCUGCAGGUGCAAUACUCUACAGAAGGGUUUGGGUUCCCCCCUCCUCUUUUAAUAUAUAUCAUGAGAGAAAUUCAAUAGAUGGUUUCAUAGAGGUCUCUGCACUUUUCUCAUUGUGCCUGUGUGUUCUGUGAGGAGAGCUGUUGAUCAUUAUCAGUUUAAGUCUAGCACCUUUAAUUCAUCAGAAGUUCAUGUAAUGUAUUACUUACAUUAGAUGUAGGUGCCAAAACUGACCUGUAAACCUAAAAUAAAAUUGGGACUACAAAAUUAAGUUCACUUAGAUUGUGGAAAUUAGGCUAUAAAUGGAAUUCCUGCGGGAACUGUGUAAACCGUCUUUGACAUUGGUUUAAUGUAAUUCUUUGCUUAAUAGGGUAACUUUAAAUUGUAUAACCAGUACGUAGUUUUAACCAGCACAGAUCUGUAGCAAAUUUUGCAGUCAGAUGAGUGUUAACAGGAACAUUCUGUGGUGUUUCUGAAUUUAAGGAUUACAGCGUAUAGCUUUAUUGCAGCCGACUGGACAGUCAGGCGUCGUACCCCCUUCCCAAACCCCGUCAGACAGGUAAUGUUACAACACUACCAUGUCAUUUGUCAAACUUCUCCAUUCAGUAAAUAAGUUUAUAAUUUAUAAAAUGCACGUGCACAGGGUAACAUAGAUUUAGGGUAAAGGUUUAUUUUGUGGUCAAAACUGAAAUCUCAGAUUCUGAAUUAUUUGUGGUAAAAACUGAAUUCAGAAUCUGAAUUUCAAUGUUAGUACCUGAAUUAGUAUUUCAUGUCCAAAUCACAAUAAUUAAUCCCUAAUUUGGGAGAAUUUUGAAUUAAAGGCUUAAUUUUUCAAAUUGAACCUGGGAAUUCAAGGUCUGGCUAGCUCUGUAAUAAAGAUCUGCAUUCUCUUAAUAGAGGGCAAGUGAGCAUGCUAGUUUUAUGCAUGAAAUUAAUUUGAAUAUUGAAAUUAUUCUGAAUCAUUCAAAUGUUUAUGCUCUAGAUGACAGCAUAUUUUGCUUGCUUUGCUGCUAGUACCAGUACUGGAAAGCGUAUUUUCCUUUCCUUCUUGAGAUUUAGAAAGAAUUUUUUUUUUAAUGUAACAUAUUCAGGUCUGAUUCUUCAAGGUUUUUUCCAGAAUGUAACUGCAUUUAGAGGCCUGAAUUAACACAUGCACUAUCGUUGCAUGAGAGCUCAUGCAUUAGAUUGUCUCUGCGGGGGAACAUUUAGGGUACUUCAGCUAAUUUGACCUAUGAAAACAUUAAUUUUGAAUGUUUUACUGAAGGUAACUCAGAAUAUCCUGACAUUCUGCAAAAUGUAUGACAGUGCUUUCAAACAGGGUAAGAAUACUCUGAGUGCUGGGUCAUCUCAGAACUUGCUUCAAGUUUUCCAGGAUCUGCUACUCAGCAAGUCUUCUGUAUUAUUUAACACAGUAUUGUCCUGGUCCUCUACUAAGCCGGUAGGUGCAAAAGCAGCUCUAAUGCCUCUCAGGCUGUAUGCAGAGCACAGCUGUACACCAGACCUCAAUCAUUUUAGAUACUCAAAGUAAUCACUAAAAGGCUGCCUUUUGCAACACUUCAUUCAUCUGAGCCAGUAUGGAACAUCCUUUUGUAUUAGCAGAGUUCUUAAAAGGAAUUAAUUCUUCCAGACAUGGCACAUGUUGAUAGCAGGUAGUCCUUGCAUGUUCAUUCUCCAAUCUGCAUGCUGAGGGCUGACCUUUUGAUCCUGUUAGUUUAAUCUCUUCGUUGUCUGUCCGUCCUUCGAACAAGGUGCUGCCCUUUCCUUGAUGAAGUCAAGUUCUUUGUUCUUCCCAGGUUUCAUUCCAAGGAAUGUCAAGGGACAAGCUUUGUACUGUAUUUGCAAAGAAAAGUAAAAUGUGAUGAAUGAGAAUCCACUUUAGAAUAGAAAACUGCCUAUAACCCCCCCACCAGCGUGCAUAUAUAAUAUAAUGUAAUAAUAAUAUAAUAUGAUAUAUGAUAUGAUAUAGAUAUAAAAUAAAAAUAGAAAAAAUACAUACACAUUCUUCUCCAAACUCAUCAGAAAUAAUGGUAAGGGAAGUAUAUUUUGCACAAAUAUAGUUCCAAAAAUGCAGGUUAUAUUGGGAAAAAAAAAAAGAGAA